UGGCUCAGUGGUAGAGCGUUUGCCUUGCAUGCAUGAGGCCCUGGGUUCGAUUCCUCAG
Molecule: non-coding RNA, 58 nt
Organism: Dipodomys ordii (Ord's kangaroo rat)
Lineage: Eukaryota; Metazoa; Chordata; Mammalia; Rodentia; Heteromyidae
Source: Rfam